UAGAAUAUCAUGUAACUGCUUUGGCAGUUCGGCUUAAGAAAAUGAGGUUUUAGCAUUACUUUUUAACUUAUAUCUUUAUGAGCUUUUUUCUCUUUUUUGGGGAUAAUAGAGAUGUGACUGAAUUGUACUUUUUGUAAGGAGCAGGCCAGCCAAUAUUCAAAUUUGAAUUUUAAAAGGAAUCUCUUCCUGUCACUACAGCUGUGGAUCAAAGGCAGUGUGGAGUAGCAGUAAAAUGGUUGAUUAAAGAUUAUUUUACAUUGAAAUAUGUUUUUUCCAAAUGUUAUUGUAAAGGAACUGAGGAAAACCCCACAGUCUGUUGAGUGAAAGUAGGACAUUUGUUAAGCGUUCACAUGGGACUCUGUAAUAGGUGAAGUCAAGGUUCUUAGACAAAAAUUGUCAAUGUGGGAGGCCCUUAUAGUUAUAAAAAUGAUAUGGGGUCCUCAACAUCCUUCUCGAACAUUGAGAGGAUCUUGGUCAUACAUCGUAGGGUGCUCAGAGCAUUGUCUGCUAGUAGAGGGGUUGGAAUGGACAACUGUGCAGAGAGACUGCUAUUGCUGGAGAAUCAAUAGGCACAAUGGGAGAUAAGUACGUCUUCUAUACUAAGGAAUUCUAGAUACUAAUGAUUUUGCAAUAACAUGAAAAACAAAUCAGAAACAAACAGAAAAGAAAAUUCUCUCUCUCUCUGGGAAAACCACCGCAUUAGGCUUUUUCACCAUGAUUUUCCAUGAUUAUAUAUGAAAGAUUCUCUAGUAUUUAAUGGGAAAAAAGAAAACUUCUGGAGACCCAGGAAGAGUUUUGGUGGAAAAGACUAACAGAGGUUUUAAUCUCGAGCUCUGGGAGGUGUCUCGCCUCUUUAAGUAGAAGCAGAUUUGAUAUCAUUCCUUUAAUUAAAACCAUCUGAUGCACAAAAUCCCUUCUCAAUUGCCCUAGAUAACUUAUUUUCCAACUCCACCUUCAAAUGGUUUGUCUUCCAAUGAAGCGUGUUAUCGUUUAUUCAAAUGACUGAUAACCCAAGAGUCGUGAAUAAUGGAAAAAUGACAAAACUUGCUAUACAUAAUCAGUUGGCAAAGGAAGGAGAAAUAACAGCUGCUUAACUGUUAUAACAUAUAUUUUUAAACUGAGCUUGUAAGUCAGUGUAACUGCCAAGUCACAGAUUUUUUUCAGUAAUCUCAAGAUGGCUUAAAGCCAUACAGAUAGGAGUUUGUUGGUGGCUUUCUUCUACCCCGAGCUCUUGUCUUUGGAAAUAUUGGGCAGGGAGAAAGGGUGCUUUUAGAACCGAGCUGUUCAGGGUCCCAGAUCCUCUAAUGUAAUGCCAGCUGAACCCAGACAGUGACUUCCACCUCCAUGAAUGCAGGUGAUUGCAUCCUUUGAAAGCCUGUUUGCAUAGCAGACAAUGAAGCUGAGCAGAGAAAAACAAGAUGAGAGACAGAUGGAGUAGGAGACCUGAGAAGAUGGCUUGAGUCCAUGAAUUCUGGUGUUCCCUAGGCCACAUUUGCCCCCAUCCUUCCCAGGUGAGAGAACCUUUGUGGGAGCGCAGAAGUCCAGCAGAGAGACCCUAGCACUUUAUUUGGACCAAAAAAUAAAUAAUAAAUAAAUAAAUAAAUAAAUCCAAAACUAGAUGCAUUAAAGAAGGUAAGAACAGUUUUACUUUACCUGUGUCACCCCUCCCCCAGUGUGGCACAGAUCAGUGCCAAGAGAGACCGCUUCAGCCCAGUUUCUUCCACAGGGGAAAAUGAGAACAGUGAGUGCCUAAUUUCCUCAGCUGUAGGAUGCUGUAGAAGAGACCCACUUCUGCCUCACCCAUUUGAGAACCCUGAGGGAAUCAGUAUGGCUGAAUAAUCUGGGGGUAGCUAGGAGCAGGGAAAAGGGGCAGCACUCACAGCAACCUGAGUAUGGAAUUCAGCAAAGAGCCACAGUUUCUAUUAACUACCUCCCAAAUUCCAUCAAGAGGGCCAGCCACAAACUACAUAGGAUGCAUAAUCUGCAGAUCCCCUGACUAGCCCAUGUGUGCUUCCAACCUUCUGCAUGCCCUUCCCCCAUGUAGCUGGCACCCUGAAUGCACCCCCAUGGAUAGCAUGUACAAGCUUCUGCAGAUUGUGCAUGAGAACAUGAAGAUAACUAACUUGAUUCAGGAUUGGAAGGAAGUGACUAAUCUUGAAUUUUUCAAGGCACUUCCUAGGGAAGAUAAACAGGAGGCUUACAUUGCACCUGGCCUGACUUUUGCAAGAUCAAGAGAAGGAAUAUGCUGUAAUUUGAAUGAAAAUUUAACAUUUAAAAUUUAUGUUGAAGCUGAAUACUCAAUGCAAUAGUACUAAGAAGUCUAACCUUUGGGAGGUGAUUAAGUCAUGAUGACUCUUCUCACUUGAAUGGGAUGAGCACUCAUAAAAGAUGUCAAGGUUUAUGGGAGUUCUCUUUUGCCCUUCCAUCCCUUCUGCCAGGUUAGACUUCUCCUAUGGAGAAUGCAGCAAGAAAAUACCAUCUUGAAGCAGAGAGCAGCGCUCAUCAGGCAUCAGUCCUUCUGGAGCCUUGAUCUUGGACCUCCCAGCUCCAAAAUAAUAAGUAAUAAAUUGUUAUUGCUUAUAAAUUA
RNAcentral lists this long non-coding RNA (2587 nucleotides) under Homo sapiens (human). RNAcentral's name for it is "HSALNT0301715". Lineage: Eukaryota; Metazoa; Chordata; Mammalia; Primates; Hominidae. The record is from RNAcentral.